AUGUCCUUGGCAUUCACGUUCGCGGCGUCCACCAACCUCUUCACCCGGGACACGUCCCCAUUCCGACAGGCCUCGAGCAGCUCCCGCAGGGCCCCACUCACGGCUGGGACCCCCGGGCCGAGGCCCGCCGCCCCGGCUCCCAAAGUUGCCGUGGAGCCAACUCCGGCCGCCUCGGGACUCUCCGCUAAGCUCGAGCCAGGGGAGGACGGGGAGGAAGACGAAGACGAAGUCGGGGAAGAAGCGGACGACGCGGAGUUGUUCCCGCCGCCGCCGCCGCCGCCGGCUGGGGUGGGAGCGACCCCGACGGCGGCGGAAGCUGCCGGGACCGCGGCCGGAGCAGCCACGGUGCAGACGGCGCCGUCCACCGGGUCGGGAGAUCGCGGCCUGUCGGGCGGGUCCCGGCUGCCAUCCCCCUCCGGCAGCGCCAGGCCGUGCCGCGGGGAGGCGAAGGGCGCCAGGCCGCCGGCCGUAGGCGAGGCAGGGGUGGGUCCCGGGGCCAAGCCCGGGCUGAGCGGCGGGGGAGGUGGCGGUGGCGGAGCCGAAGCCCCUGGGGCGGGCUGGAGCUGUUGCUGAUGAUGGUGGUGAUGAUGCUGAGAGCGACGCGACGCCGCCAUCUUCCCACUCCCCCGUACUGUCACUGCGGCAACGGCGCCACCGCCCGCCCUCACUUCCGGAUUCUGGACCAAUCGGGAUCCAACAUACCCGGAAAUGAUUCCUGCCGAAGUGGGUGGAGUCCGAGAGAAGAAGGGAAGUAUUGGAAGCUCAGAGAACAACCAGCCUGGGGGCGUGGCUUAGUAGUGGAGCGACGGGCUUUUGUGACGCCCUGGCGGGCUGGCUGGGCAGAUUUGAAAGUUGUGGUGAGCCACUACCUGUCUGAGAAACUUCUGCCUUCCUUCACUUUCUGCGGGAUUGCUUCGGUCGGCUUCAGUCUUCCCUCGGGUACCCGUCAGUCUGCGGUGUCUCCCUUCAGAAGAAGCUAUUAAAGUGUAACUUAUGCAAACAUCUACCAAACGUCCUCGUCCGAAAAUGGAAUUAAUAGUACCCACCUCACAAAGUUGUUUGCAGGAAUGAAGUGAGCUAAUGCAUACAAACGCUCUGAAGAAUAAUUAUAAUUAGCACAUUGGGAAUAUUUUUAAAUGCAGUGUUAGAUAUCUCUCC
This 1158-nucleotide long non-coding RNA is filed under the name Mus musculus (house mouse). Its description in RNAcentral is "long non-coding RNA chr8:34965051-34966209". The record is from RNAcentral. Lineage: Eukaryota; Metazoa; Chordata; Mammalia; Rodentia; Muridae.